UGUGCCAGCAGCCGCGGUAAUACGUAGGUGGCAAGCGUUGUCCGGAUUUACUGGGCGUAAAGGAUGCGUAGGCGGAUAUUUAAGUCAGAUGUGAAAUACCCGGGCUCAACUUGGGUGCUGCAUUUGAAACUGGAUAUCUAGAGUGCGGGAGAGGUAAGUGGAAUUCCUAGUGUAGCGGUGAAAUGCGUAGAGAUUAGGAAGAACACCAGUGGCGAUGGCGACUUACUGGACCGUAACUGACGCUGAGGCAUGAAAGCGUGGGGAGCAAACAGGAUUAGAAACCCGAGUAGUCC
RNAcentral lists this ribosomal RNA (293 nucleotides) under uncultured bacterium. RNAcentral's name for it is "partial 16S ribosomal RNA". It matches the Rfam family "Bacterial small subunit ribosomal RNA", at positions 504 to 796 of the family's 1533-position model. The record is from RNAcentral.